RNAcentral lists this long non-coding RNA (6674 nucleotides) under Manihot esculenta (cassava). RNAcentral describes it as "long non-coding RNA (MESC_LNC009067)". Lineage: Eukaryota; Viridiplantae; Streptophyta; Magnoliopsida; Malpighiales; Euphorbiaceae. The record is from RNAcentral.
CUUCCUGCUAGUGAAGCCGAUGCGCCACAGUUCCGCGUGGUGUUUUAAUGAGAGAGUGAGGAACGAUUGACCGCAUGGGAGAAGUAGUGAAACCAAACUUGGAAAAAAAAAGGGAAAUUAGGGAAUCCUUUUUUAGUUGGAUUUUGAGAUUAUCUAUCAGUUGAAAAAUUGAUUUUGCUUAAUCUUCAAGAGAGUGAUGUAAUUUUGCUAGCAAUUGUUCUCAUCCCUAUAACCUGUUGGGUAUCAGAUUGUUGUGUUUAAAAUUGUUGUUGUUUUGUUUUUGGGAGUUCUAUGUGACAUCUCACUGGUGUUUGCUAUAAAGACUCGAGUUCUUCCAUUUUCUUUUCUGAAGCUGCAUUGGAUGCUUUUGAACUAUAUAAUCUUAUGGGUUGUCAAAUAUUGAGCUUAGUUUUCCCUCGGUGCUUUUUUGGUAUAUUUUUCUUCCUGACAUUCUAUGAUCUGUUGACCAUAUUGCUCAUGGUGAAGGUAUAAUUUUUGCCCUGAAUGGAAACAUGGGAUGUGCAAUGAGUGAUUAACGAACUAAUUUUAGUGUUAGUUUUUGUUUGUGAGUUUGAAAACCAAUUACAUAGACUUGUGAUUGAAUGUGUGUUUGUUUUUUAAUGGUAAGAUUACAUAUGCAAAGCCAAGCUCUAACCAACUUAUAUGAAUGGCCAAAUGCAUAAAUAGAGUAUGCCACACUCUCAUACAUUGCAAAGUUUAAGUUAUUCACUUCUGAAAGUGGAAGGGGUAAAUAGGAUGAAAAUAAAGUUGAGGAGCUAAAAUAAGUUUUUGUGGAAACCUGAGGGGAUAUAUUAUGCAUUCAGCCAUAUGAAUUAACACAUUAGAAUAGUUGGUUUUGAGUCCCCUUUGCAUGCGUUUCAUAGGUAGGAACAAUAGGUCUAAGGCAGAUUUGAUUUUGAUUUAUGAUAUGAUGAUUUCUUCUAGUUGAAAAAUAUAAAUCUGCUGCACAGUAUAUCUGAGUAGCAGGACUGCAGAUGAGUUUGAAGAACUUUAUGGAAGAAAGGAGCAGAAGAGGAAAAGGCAAGGCAGACUGCAUGUUCACAGUAUGUCUGAAGUUGCAGGAUUGGGCCUUUAAAAAUUCAUUUCACUUUUGCUAUUUUGAUAUAGUUUUUUUUUUCUCCAUAUUAACUCAAACAACAAUUGAACAGGCACUCAACAAAUCAACCUACAUGAUGCAUUUCAUGAGCAUUUGCUUGUACUGGAUACGUCCAUUUACCUGUGGCCUUUUGAAAUUAGACUUUGGCUUCCCAUGAUAUAUUAUUAUUAUUAUCUUUGAAGUUGAAAGAUUUCUGACUGAAAUGAUGCGCACCUUCUUAUAAUAUAAUAGUUUGACAAAUUUUGAUGCAGAUCCUUGAUAUUGAAGUGUUUCCAGUUGUGAUUCAUAGCAUUUAGAGAAUAAAGUAUCCUCUGUUAUCAAACCAAUCAGUGAUGAUGCUACUGUACUUGCAUAAUUAACUAAAUGUGUCUUCUCUGUCUGCUAAGUGAUUGAGAUUCUUUUUCUGGCAAAACAGAGGUUCAAUUCUUUCUUUUGUUUUGAUGUUCUGUUGAAGAGGGCGGCAACUCAUUUUUAAUGCCAAGGCAUGGUUUUGCAGUAUUACACUCUUAUCUAUUGUAGGAUUCAUAUGUCAAAAAGAAGCCAAAAAAAGGAUGAAGAAGUAGAUGAAAGGGUUCUGGUCUGCAACAGUGUUAGUUGUAUAAAAAGUAAACAUAGCAGAAGCAUAGGUAUGCAUUCAUCUGUCCUAAAGUAAACGUUUUGAGCCAAAGAAGUGUGGAAAGUGAAUAGUCAUAGCAGUUAUUAGUGGGAUUUACUUGGGGAUUUUUUGGAUGAUGUUUUUCCAUGAUUAUGUAUUCUAUUGUUACAUAGAUAACCAUGUUUGAGACGAUUGUAUGAUUCUUGGUGAUUUUUCAUGGUUAUAUAACCAUGAAAGCUCACAUAUCCUUUAACCACCAAUUUGGUGUUUUUGCAUUGUUAUAUAAAAUUUGUUUUCUCUUUUUCCGUCAUAUAUUUUAUGUAUGAUCAAUUUACCUUUAAAAUAAUUAGUUAAACUAACUUUUCCAAUCUAAUAAUGACCCUUAUUAAUAUAUCACCAACUUUCGCCCUCCCUUGAUCAAACAUUUAAUAAUAUUUAAUAUAUAAAAUAUUAUUUUUAAAUAGACAGCUUUUUGUGUAUUGAAAUAAAUAUGAAAUGUGCAUUAAAAUAUGAAAAAUAAAGAAUUAGUGAUCAAAUUGCAUAUAAAAAUGAAUGAGAGUAUUCAAGUAAUUUAAUAAUUGUUUAAAACAAUACUAUACAAUUAAACCAAAGAAGGAGCAAUUAUAAAAUCAUGAUAAACUAUACUAUCUUUUCAAACAUUAUAAAGGACAAUACAUUAUACACCAUACAACAUACAAUGGAUACAAUAUUAUGAAAAUAUUAACAGAAUCAUGGGAAAACAUCAUCCAAACAGGGUCUCAGUGAAUAAACAUUAGUUUAAUUUUUGUUCUCUUACUUGUCAAUGUACUUGAUCUGCACGUAGUUUCUAAACUCUUUUACCCUCUGUUUAGAAUAAAAAAUUUGGUAAACAUUUAAUUUAAUUAAUUUUUUUAAUAAUUUUUUAUUUAUAAUGAAAGAAUUUAAUUAUUUUUCAUUUAAAUAAUUUAUUUUUAAAAAAAAUUAAAAUUUUACAUAAUUUUAUAAAAAUUUAUUUAAAUUAUUUUAUUACAAAAUGAAUAGUUGCCAAACAAAGAGUUAAAGAUUCUUCUAAGUGAAAAUUUGCCUUAGUUAUAAAAAACACUCUUAAUUGUGUUUUUUAGUAAAUGUUCUAUUUCUAUAUGUUAAUGAAAUCAUCAUGUCAUUCUUAAUUGUAUUUUUUAAUAGUUCGUCAUGUUUAUCAAAAAAAAUAUAUUAUAAAUAAUCGUUAUAUAUAUAAUAAUUUUAUUAUAGUUAUUGAUUAUAAAAGGUCUAUUGUAAGAUCACCCAAAUCAAUUAUCAAUAUUUUACUUUUGUAUAUACGACAGUCAUAUUAAAUCAUUUCUCCAACGACCAGUCAAGCAGGAAUUUUGUUGCAUCGCAUCAAGUGUCUUUUUUUUUUUUUUCUCUUCNNNNNNNNNNNNNNNNNNNNNNNNNNNNNNNNNNNNNNNNNNNNNNNNNNNNNNNNNNNNNNNNNNNNNNNNNNNNNNNNNNNNNNNNNNNNNNNNNNNNNNNNNNNNNNNNNNNNNNNNNNNNNNNNNNNNNNNNNNNNNNNNNNNNAAAAAAAAAAAAAAAAAGACGAGGAAUAAUGAAUAUUCAUUAACACUUUAUGUACAUGUUUAAUUCCAUUUCAAGUAACUAUUUUUUUUUUUUGGUUUAUCAUCAUCCUUCCUCUUUUUCUUCUUUCUCUUUUUCUUUUUUCUCAGUUCAUUUUCCUCUUCUUGUUCUCAUUUAUUCUCCCUAUGAUUGUAAUGUUGCCCAAUUUUUUGUUUUUAACGUUGUUGUCGACACAUUUGUUGUAUGCUAUUAUUGUUCUAUUUCUUUUUCUUUUUCAGUUUUAUGUUACUUAUGUAUUUGUAUUAUUAUAUUAAUUAAUUAAGUGAGAAUUCUUUUUUUUUUUUAAAUGAAUUAAGUGAGAAUUGUAGUUUAGAUAGCGCUCAUUUGCACUUUACGCCUAGACUUUAAACCCUUUUUACGCCUUAGUACUUGUAUCUCGAGCAUUUUACAACUAUGCUCAACUCUACUCUACUCUGUUAUUUUUAUAAUUGUAUCAGAUUUUUAUUUAUUAAAAAAUAUUUAUAUUUUGGUUUAUUUUCAUUAUUAGAAUAAUAUGUUAUUGUGAAAUAUAAUUUUUAUAAUUAUUUAAAUUUCAUGUAAAUUUAUAGUGCGUUAAAAAGAAUAAAAAGUUCUGUAUAUAAUGAUAUAAAGCGAUAAACAUGACUCAUACUAAACGUAGUUAUAUUCUCGAGAUUUCUAUUAAACGUCAAAAUUUUGAAAUUUAGGUAACAUGUUAAUUAUUUCAUGAAAUAUAAAUUUCAAAAAUAUUUCCAUGUUAAAAAUUUUAAAUAAAUUAACUAUUGAUUUAACAGUAAAAUAUUUUUUAAAAAAAAAAUCAGAGCUUUUUGAUCAGCAGAUUUCUAAAACACUAUCCAUCUUUCAUUAUUUUUUGAAAUUAAGCAUUUGUUUAUUUCAUAAAGAAAAUAUUUUCAUAUGUUUUGGUAUUUAAAAUAAUCAAAAAAUUUAGUAAAUAAAAAAUAUUUUCCCAUCGAAGAAAAAUUAAGUCAUUUUUCACAUGUUUCAAAUUUUUUUAAAAUUUUUAUAUAAAUUAAUUUAUAUAUUUUAUUUUAAAUUAAAUUUAAAAUGUAUUUAUUUAUAUAAAAUAAUUUAUUUAUAUUUAUUUUUCAUAAAAAAUAUUUUUUACAGAAUAUUUUUCAAUAAGAUAAUUUUAUAAUUUACUUUUUAUUAUUUAAUUUUAAUUUAUUAACAAAUUUAUAUAUAAAAGUCUUAAUAAAAAUUUUAAAACAUAAAAAAAUAACUUUUUAUUUUAAAUAAAAAAUUAUUUUUUUAAAAUGAUUUAAUUUUUCUGAGUGUUUUAAAUGUUAAAAAAUAUUAUAAAUAUUUUUUUAAUAAAUAUUUUUUAUGAAAUAAAUGAAGUUUUAAAUAAUGAAAAGUAAAUUAUUUUACUAGAAAAAAUUUUUAAAUAUAAAUUAUUUUCUACAAAUAAAUAAAAUUAAAAUUUUUUUUAUUAUUUUAUGCUCUUCAGUGGGAUUGUAUAUAAUUUUUAAAAUUUUUAAAUCGAAUUAAAAAUUUAUACUGAAUCAAGUUUUAACUGAAAAAAAAAAUUGAUAGUAUAGAAACUAAAUUAUAUUAAAUUUAUUUAGUUAUAUGAUUCUAAUUGUAAUUCUCAAUUAAAAAUAAUAUUGAAGUAGACUUUAAAAUUAAUUUUGUACAUAUAUUUUUUAAUCAUAUUAUAAUUCUAAUAUAUAUAGUUUCAAUAAUAUAUUUUAUAUAUUAUAAAAAUUCAAUAAAUUACACACACAUGUAUAUAAAAGAUUAUUAUAUUUACAGUGUUAUUUAAUCUUAAAUAUUGUUAACAUAUAAAUUAAUUAUACUUUCCAGUUCAAAAAAAAAUAAUUAAUAUAAAUAAAUUUAUAUUAAUUAAUAUAAUAUUUUAAAAAUAUAUAAAUAUAAUAAAUAUUUUUUUUGAAUUGGAAAUUGAAGAGAAAACUUGAUAUUUUUUAGAUUUAUUCAAAUGCACUUAUUAGUAUAAAUAUAAUAAAUAAUUUUUAAAAUUAUAAAAAUAAAGUUUUAUCAUUAAAAAAUAUUUAUAUUAUAAAAAUAAUAUUAUAUUAGAUAACAAUUUAUUUAACUCUUAAGUGAUAAUAUAAAAUUUUAAAUUAAAAUUAUUUAAUUUUUAAAUAAAAAUACAUGAAUUUAAUUAAACUUAAUCUUAAAUUAAAAAACUCAACAUUCUAUUGGAAGUGUAGCGGUGGAAUGUAUGCCAAUAUUUAAUGGUGCACUCUAAUCAUUCAUUAAGUGUCCAAUUUAAUUUGAAUAUUUAGUCCGUUUUAUAAUUUUUUUAUUUUUAUUAUUUAUAUAUAUUAAAAAAUAUAUUUUUUAAAUUAAUUUUUUAAUUACAUAAAUUUUAAAUAUAUUAUAUUUUAUUAAAUAUUACGAUAUAUUUUUAAAAAAAUUAAUAUGUAAAAAUAUCACAAUACAAAAUAAAUAAAAAAUUUAAAAUAUGUAAAAAGAGAUAAUUUUGUUAAUAUAUUAUGUAACAUUUUUUUUUUUUUUUAUGUUGUGAUAUAUGAUUUUUGUUAAGUAGAGGUUUUUAUAUGAAAAAAAAUAAUAAAUUAAAAAUGAGGGACUAAAAUAUAAUAAUUUUCACAAAUGAGGGAGGGCGGAGAAAAAUCUCCACCUAUAGAAUUUUGUGAUUUCAUAUAAAAUAAUAAUCAAAUAGCUGAUUGACACGUAUGUUUGAGGCACCGCAGAUAUAUAACCAACAAAUUAUUUUAAAAAAUAUAUAUAUGCAUUUCAAUUUAUUUUUUAAUUAAAAUAUUUAUGUUUUUUUAUUAAAAUAUAAGAUUUUAAUUUGUUAGACUAUAAUUAGCUUAACCAUUCUAUCUAAAAGAAAAUAAUAGUGAAAUGUGAGAUGUCCUUUCUAUUUAAAUCUUAGAAUUCUAAGUAUAAAUUUUUAUAAUUAUUUAUAUAAAUAUUAAUAAGUACCUAAAUUCUUAAAAAUACACUGUAGAUGAACGGCUGACAUUGAUAAAAGAGAAGUCCAAUCAAUUUCAUAAGAUGGAUGUAAAUUGAAAUCCUCAAAAUCAACAUUCAAAAGUGUUUCUUUGAAAUUUAAAACAGUGAAACCUAACAAAGGAGAUAGUAUCUCAAUCUUCUAAUAUUUAUCUAUGAUAACUUUUUAUUGUGAAUCAGCUUCCUUAGCCGCCAUUGGCCUGGUCGUUCCCACUUGGGCUUUCUUCUUGUUCGAUGAAUUUAAUUAAUUCUCAGCUUUUCCUCUUUAUUUUUGUAAUUUCGCUAAAUUUUGACAAAUUGCUUGCAGUUUCACGUCAACUGAGAAAUAGAAACUUACCUUUAAUGUGAAACCCUGAUGGCAGGUUGAGGAAGUUGAGCUUUGCCAAGUCAUCCCAGCUCACUGCAUUGUCAAAAACCAAGGCUUUUCCUCAAUUGUGUUCAAAGUGUCAAGUC